UACGGGGGGAGCAAGCGUUGUUCGGAUUUACUGGGCGUAAAGGGCGCGUAGGCGGUCAGCACAAGUCAGUUGUGAAAUCUCCGGGCUUAACCCGGAAAGGUCAACUGAUACUGUGCGACUAGAGUGCGGAAGGGGCAACUGGAAUUCUCGGUGUAGCGGUGAAAUGCGUAGAUAUCGAGAGGAACACCUGCGGCGAAGGCGGGUAGCUGGGCCGACACUGACGCUGAGGCGCGAAAGCCAGGGGAGCGAACGGG
This 254-nucleotide ribosomal RNA is filed under the name uncultured bacterium. Its description in RNAcentral is "partial 16S ribosomal RNA". It matches the Rfam family "Bacterial small subunit ribosomal RNA", at positions 524 to 776 of the family's 1533-position model. The record is from RNAcentral.